Molecule: ribosomal RNA, 490 nt
Filed under: Cristaria bellua
Lineage: Eukaryota; Metazoa; Mollusca; Bivalvia; Unionida; Unionidae
Description: partial large subunit ribosomal RNA
Rfam family: Bacterial large subunit ribosomal RNA
Source: RNAcentral
UCGUCUUUUGAGGUCCCUGAUAAAAGAUAAUGCCUGCCCAGUGAAAUCUUUAAACGGCCGCGUUAGCGUGAGCGUGCUAAGGUAGCGUAAUAAUUAGCCUUUUAAUUGGAGGCCAGUGAAUGGCAAGACUAGGAACACCUUUACUUUGUGGUGUCAGAAAAACUUUUCAUCUAAGCGAAAAGACUUAGAUAGUGAAGGAAGACGAAAAGACCCCGCGGAGCUUUACCUUUUCUUGCGCUUCUGUUUAUACACUUAAAAGUGCUUAAGGUUUGAUUGGGGCAAUCUCGGAAUCAUCAAAGCUUCCGAUUCUUCAGAAUAGCACAUCUAAAACUUACUAAGGACCAAAAAGAAGCUACCCCGGGGAUAACAGCGUAAUCCAACUCAAGAGUACAUAUCGAAAGUUGGGUUUGCGACCUCGAUGUUGGCUUAAGGAUAUCCACAUUAGUGCAACCGCUAUGAUAGGAUAGUCUGUUCGACUAUUAUACCCUUA